CUUGCAGGUGUUCACCCAGGCACAAUGCUGCUGCAACACUUCCAAGCCCCAGCUCUCUGACUCAGGUUCCCCAGGCGGAGCUUUCAGCGUGACAGGGCUGUGAUAAUUUGCCAGCAAAGCCUGGGGUCUUUCCCUGCUACAGUCACAUGGAAAAGAGCCUCCAGCCCCCAUGUCUCCAAUGCCCUCCACGAAGUUUGGACCCUGCUAUGAAGGCUGUUUGCCCAAGAAUACCUCAAUUUCAAUGAAAAGACAGCAGAGGAUUGUUGACAAGACUCCUGACCAUGGGGACCUUAUUACCAGAGCUGGAGAAACCAGUGAGCACCUCGGCACGGGCAGCUCUGCUUGCUCCGAAUGUGGCAAUCAGUAGGUGACAGCUUGCUGCGAUCUGUGGGGGUGGCAGACAUGUCACGCUGGCACAAAGUGGAGGAUAUCAGAAGAGUGAUAAUACGCGUCUCAGAAACUUGGAGAGAAACUCUUUUCCUUGGUGCUGUCAUCACUGAAAAAAGAAACUGUGUUCAUGCAAAUAACUCAGUGUGUGUGGCCUCAAAGAGGAAGCACAGCAGCUGCUGCUGGUGAACGGUGAUUUCAUCUUGCAGAGCCCUUCCACUCCUGUGCCUGGCGUGGCCUACUGUGCCCAUUAUUUGGCUUAAAAUAUCUGCUGUGUUCGGGAAGCUGCAUAAUGAAUUUCCCUUCAAGGCUGUAAGAAUGUUGCAGUGUAUUUUGCCAAAACCAGUGUGGAAACUGCAGAAAGGAGAAGUGAAAAUGGCUGAAGAUUGAACGUGGCACAACAGUAGGGCUGCUCACAAGUGGAAUCGUCUACAUGCUGCCAUGGAAACACUAGCCUUGGUCCCCAGCACAGUUCGAAGCCAUCUGCAAGGGAACAAUUGUUGGCCUGUUUGUAUAAAAUCAUCCGGGGUGGUGCCGGGUGGCGUGCGGCUGGCCAAGGGGAAGCCACACUGAGACACGACAGGACGUGCUUGUCACACUGAAUAAUGGGAUGUUCAAAUGCCCGCAGACAGGAUCCACAACGUCCUGUCUGGAGAAGAGCUGAUGUGCAAAACCAGUGUGAAUCAAAUUGGUUUGAAUGAGUUGGAGUGAGCGUUUGAUUCCCAGGGGCUCCAGCACUUUGCGUGCGAUGGUUAUGGGCGUUCACGCUGCCAGCUUUUCGGUUUGGGUGAACACGGGGACCUCCAUGCAAGCAGAGGUCUGUGUGUGCAAAGAAAAGCCUUCUGAGAGGCAACAGCGUGGGAGCCCCCAGCAGGCUGCUGCUCCUGUGGAGCUGAAUUUCAAUUGCUCCGGGGUGGGAAAGGGAGCCAGGUUAACUUUCUGCAUAUGAACAGCUCGACUGAACACACCAGGCUUAUGAAGCUCUUGGCAUGAAGCAUGCGCAGAAGACUGACCAUCAGCCAGCAUUUGCCAAAACUGCUGGGGAAGCAGCUCCUGUCUUUACUCAACCAUGCAUUGGGCUUCAAAUCUGUGAAGAGCAGGUUGUGUUCCCAGGCAGUUGCCCUACCCGAAAAGAGAUGGACAUGAAAAAGAAAAGUACAUGAGAAAUGGCAGAGAAUAACCUGAUCCACACUAACUUCCUCCCUUGCUUUGGCAGGACUGCUAAGCCCAGGAUUGCUCUGCUGGUUUAUGUCCUAAAUGUGCUGGGUACGCGCUCUGAUGUCAUGAGUGUGUGUCGCUGAGCUCUCACGCUGAUGCCACAAGGAAACCCAGCAGAGAGCCCUGCCAGAGGAAGGUGUCCUUUCUCUGCUAGGAAUGGGCAAGGGUGCAACCUGCUGGCUGCCAGCGGAGGCCAGCUCUGCCCUCCACCCUUCAGAGGUCCUUCAGCGCCAAGAAUUUGUUUCUUCUUACUUGCGAUCCACCCUGAAGGCCAGCACAGGCAACGCAGAGGCUCAGGACUUUGCCUGAAGAGUCCACGGAGGAGCUGAUUUCUCUUUGUUGGCAGAAAGAGGAGCUCAAACAGCCUCGUAGCGCGUGUGCGUUGAACCUGCCGAGCUGAGCUUGCACGCCCGCAGUCCUUCCCCCACCACCCCAGCAGCCGAGCGCAGCCCUGCCUGAGCCCUGCCUGAGCCCUGCCCGACACAGCUGGCAGUCGUUCAUUCGAGCUAGCUUGUAAAUCCUCUUCAUUUCUGCUUGUCCCCUGCUUUGAGCUCAUUUUCCUCUGAGAUCCCCAUGACUGCACUUUACGUUUGUGAACGUUCAGGGGAAAAGAUUUUGAAGCUUCUAGGCUGAGAUGCCAGAAUAGACUCGCUUUCUGGGAGAAUUUGCUGUGGUUAACCUGACUACAAACAUCUCAUUCAGCCAAGCAAAGAGGAGAAAAAUUACUUGGCUUUAAUCUAGUUCAUCUUCAAAAAUACUUAAUAAAAGAGGGAAAAUAAAUUCAGGGGGGCUCGUGGGCAUCCUGAGAGCAGAAAAAGAGGUAAAAUUAAUCCUAUCAAUAAUCCAUGAUGAAUGAUUCACUCAGCUCUUUUAUUCAUGGUUGCAUAUAGUUAUCCUUAUUCACGCGGAGAUGCAGUACUCAUGGAAAUAUAUACAGACUCAUAUGCAUAUAAAUUACGAAGCCCAGCGAGGGCUCCUACGCAGCCAGGGUUACAGCUCAGCGUAGCUCGCACAUCGUACACGGCUGCACGGACCUCACUCCUGCUGGGCUGAGCACAGGUCGCUGAGCAGCCGCCGGGCUCUUUGGAGCUUCAGGAGGUUUCUGCACAGCCACGUGCCAGGGCUUGGCUCCUUGCUGCUUGCAUUUUCCCAGCAAGUUCAUCCAUGUGCUCUAGCAGGGAUGAGGAAGGGAAGGGGUCUGUGUCACCCUCCCUUCUGGCAGGGGUCACUUAUGGGAAGAAGGGCUAUAAAGCCAGCAUGGCCCAGUGUCCAGCACGCUCCACGCUGCCUGGUGGGAGAGGUGACGCCAGUGUCCCCAGCCCUCAGCUGCCUCCACACAGCUCCCCUGCACUGAGGCUUCCCUCUCUUUUGC
This is a long non-coding RNA of Harpia harpyja (harpy eagle), 2977 nucleotides long. RefSeq lists it as uncharacterized. The transcript is spliced from 5 exons. The record is from RefSeq and is a predicted model, not a curated record. NCBI's taxonomy places the organism in Eukaryota, Metazoa, Chordata, Aves, Accipitriformes, Accipitridae.